CUAUGCUAAGGUAGCAUAAUAAUUUGCUUUAUAAUUAAAAGAUAGAACGAAAGGUUAUUCUAAAUCAGAUUAUUAAAACUUUCAAUUAAAAUUAUUCUGUUAGUGAAAAAACUAGCAUAAAUUUUUUAGACGAUAAGACCCUAUGAAGCUUUACUAGAAAAUCUAGUUUUUUUGGGGCAAAAAAUAAUGAAAAUAUUUCUUUUUAGCUAAAUUUUGAUCUUACUGAAUUUUUAGAAAAAGCUACUCUAGGGAUAACAGCAUAAUUUUUAUAAAAGUUCUUAUUAAAAUAAAAGUUUGUGACCUCGAUGUUGA
This 312-nucleotide ribosomal RNA is filed under the name Calamoecia tasmanica subattenuata complex ssp. B SJA-2009. RNAcentral describes it as "partial 16S ribosomal RNA". The stretch from base 129 to 312 matches the Rfam family "Bacterial large subunit ribosomal RNA", at positions 2079 to 2535 of the family's 2925-position model. Lineage: Eukaryota; Metazoa; Arthropoda; Copepoda; Calanoida; Centropagidae. The record is from RNAcentral.